This is a non-coding RNA of Callithrix jacchus (white-tufted-ear marmoset), 1344 nucleotides long. The record is from RefSeq and is a predicted model, not a curated record. Lineage: Eukaryota; Metazoa; Chordata; Mammalia; Primates; Cebidae.
GCAGCCUGGCAAAGAAUCAAAUGAUAAAGUCAAAAGCAGGUAAAAUGCUAAACUCAGAUGCUUUUGAAGGACAGAUGAAUUAACAUGAUAAAUAAAUGAAAAUGUCCUAUGUUACUCAGUAAUGCAGUCAGCUGUAUUUAAGAUUACUCAAAAACCACAUCACACAGCAAAUGCAAGAAGCUUGAAAUGGCAUGAGCAGCUGGGCUGGAGACGGAGACAGGAGGGAUGUGACUGCCAGGCAAUCUGCUCUGAAGAGAGAAGGCCAUAUUCAGACAUCUGAUGAAAAAGGCCCAUGGAGCUGUGCUGCUUUCUGUGUUUCUUCCAACAACGACUCAAGUCUAUGUCUGAUAGCCCCAGCCCAGUAAGGAGCUGUUUUCCUCCACAGUGAAAAGAUGAUUUUCAUCUUCACUCUAGGAAACCUCAAAGGUAGAUAUCUUCACCAUUACAAGAACAGUUAUAUUUAUAAUUCAAGCUGAGUUGUGAAUCCACUUUGCACUACUUGGGCUUUAAAGAUGGUAAAACUGAACUCCAUUCUAAUUUGAAAGUACCUGUAAAUAAACAUUUUUUCCUACAGCACACACAGCACUGGUCAUUGCUAAUUGUGUCCCUACCAGCUUCUAUAACAAUGGAUUUUGGACUCUUCUAAUUUUUAAAAUGUAGGUCCUAGAAUACACUUAUCAUUUUAAUUCAACAUGUAGGAAAACAAAUGGAUUUCGAGGCUCAGAAGUUCAGUGUUCAAACCCAAUGCCCAGACUUACACUUGGGUGACAUCACUGUGAUCAGCCACAUGUGGGAACUAAACAGCCUCUUCCAGAGCAGAGGUCUGGAGAGAUCAUGAUAGAGUCAGCAAUGGUUCUCACAUACCCUCUGAGCACUCACAAACAGCUUGUGAAUGAUCCUGCCAGCAUGUCCUCUUCCUGCACCGGUGACCAACACUUCAGGCUGCUCCAGCAGGCAACUGACAAACCUAGGAGAGACAGACAGCCAAUGAAAGGGUGGAAAUGAGCUGUCCAGGCCACUUUGCAUCCAUCCAUCCUCCCACAGGAGUUUUGUGGACAAAUCCUCCAGCUCAUACUGGCUAGACCCACCAAGGUUGGAGUGAAAUUUUACAGCAAGAUAGACUGACAUUUGGAAUUAAUAUCCACUCAAUUGAAAAUCUUCCUGGUUUUUCACCUGUGUUCAUAAAAAUUUUUUCAAGCCUAUCUCUGUCAAAGUGUAAGAAAAAAUAUUCAGUCUAAUUUUUUAGACUAGAAGCUUAGAAAAUGCUACAGUUAAUAAAAGAUGAAAAGAAAUUUGGAUAACAUAAACUAAGUUAUAUUUAUCCAAUAAAAGCAAUGAUCCAUA